UACGUAGGUGGCAAGCGUUGUCCGGAUUUACUGGGCGUAAAGAGCGCGCAGGCGGCCAAGUCAGUCGAAUGUGAAAUCCCACGGCUUAACUGUGGAACGGCUGGGCAUACUGGCGGUCUUGAGCCAUCUAGGGGCGACUGGAACAAGCGGUGGAGCGGUGAAAUGCGUAGAUAUCGUUUGGAACGCCAAUGGUGAAAACAGGUCGCUGGGGAUGAGCUGACGCUGAGACACGAAAGCCAGGGGAGCAAACGGG
Molecule: ribosomal RNA, 253 nt
Filed under: uncultured bacterium
Lineage: Bacteria
Description: partial 16S ribosomal RNA
Rfam family: Bacterial small subunit ribosomal RNA
Source: RNAcentral